GACGAACGCUGGCGACGUGCUUAACACAUGCAAGUCGAACGGAAAGGCCCUGCUUUUGUGGGGUGCUCGAGUGGCGAACGGGUGAGUAACACGUGAGUAACCUGCCCUUGACUUUGGGAUAACUUCAGGAAACUGGGGCUAAUACCGGAUAGGAGCUCCUGCUGCAUGGUGGGGGUUGGAAAGUUUCGGCGGUUGGGGAUGGACUCGCGGCUUAUCAGCUUGUUGGUGGGGUAGUGGCUUACCAAGGCUUUGACGGGUAGCCGGCCUGAGAGGGUGACCGGCCACAUUGGGACUGAGAUACGGCCCAGACUCCUACGGGAGGCAGCAGGGGGGAAUAUUGCACAAUGGGCGGAAGCCUGAUGCAGCAACGCCGCGUGCGGGAUGACGGCCUUCGGGUUGUAAACCGCUUUCGCCUGUGACGAAGCGUGAGUGACGGUAAUGGGUAAAGAAGCACCGGCUAACUACGUG
This 468-nucleotide ribosomal RNA is filed under the name uncultured bacterium. Its description in RNAcentral is "partial 16S ribosomal RNA". It matches the Rfam family "Bacterial small subunit ribosomal RNA", at positions 28 to 507 of the family's 1533-position model. The record is from RNAcentral.